GUUAAUAACAAUAGAUAUUGUAUACAAGUUGAAGGUCCAAUAUGUUAUAUAUUAAUAGUUAUGAAAAUAUUUUAAACAUUUGAAAUAAAAGGUUUCGAUCAAACAUUAAUCACCGCCAUCUAUUGUCACACUGAAGCGACCUCUUUGUCUGAGGGUGACCGAGAAAAGAAGUCGGAUUCUGGACAAGGUCAGUGAACGAAGAAGCGUAGAUAAUAAAAUAACAUUCAACGAAAUUCUUCUGCCCAAUAAUGAGUUCCGAAGAUAAUUUAUAUUCGAGUUAUCUAAAAUGCAAAACAUGCUAUAAAUAGAAAACUCAUAAUGAAAUGUUUUAUCAAACAAAAACAAACACACAUGUCUGGCGAGCUGUUUAUAACGUAAUGAUUUAGUUUUAUGACCACACUUGUGUUACAUAAUGUCUAAUCUUUAGUAUGAAAAAGCGACAUAACUGCCUAUAGAAAAGCGAUAACAUGAACAUAAAAGCGAACUUUAUUGCUUUAUUCAUCAUUCAGCCAUAUAAAUUCAUCAAGACACUUGUUAAUCGUAAAAUAAAUCUUAUUACACAGUAAAAUGAUGUUUAAAUUGACGACAAGCGUUUUAUUUUCGUCAUAACAAUAAAAUUUAUUUUUAUGAGCGGUGAGCUAGUGUAGUUGUGUUAAGCGCCAUCUAGCGGUAUCCCCCGGGACCACGUCGUCACGGCAGUUAGGUGACGUCACGUUGAUGGCAAGAGCUUUUACGAUGCGUACGUUUCAAUGAAUGGAGGUGUCGUAAAUGCGGAUUUGGCGAUUUUAGUUAAGUGCAAUCUUGUAGUCACUUCCUACGGGCUCGUGUACAUGUUUAUUGAAUGAAUUAUGAUUGUGCAUAAAACAUUUUUGACUACGACUUCUCUGUGUUGUUAUUUUCUAAUAUUUUUGUUCGGUACGAGAAUUCUAUAUCUGACCACGCAGUUUUAAAUCUUAAUUAUUUUGAAGAAAAUAAUCUAAUAAAUUCUGAAGAAUUAUUUGCCCAAACUAAAACUAUACUUCUGACCGAAAUUAAAAUUAUGGAUUAUUAACAGUAUAAAUAUAACAAGUUAAUUUAGUAAAAAAACGUUCCGAAUAAAUAUUUCACGAGCACACUAGUUCCUACUCCCGACACCACCCGAAUGAGAUCAAAUGCACACACACAAAUGUCCCCACGCACUUUCCUACAUUAAAACUUAACUAACUUUGCAUAAUUGUCUCAUUCACGCACGUACAAUCGUUACGGGACGACGGUGAUGCCAUCUCUGUCGCACACGAUCGUCAAAAUGGCUUCCAAACGAGAUAUUUUGAAGGAACGCCGCCAACUUUUGUUGGUGUAAUGGGCGGAGCGUGCAUGCACAGGGGCGCAUUCAGUAAUGUCAUCUAGUGUGAUAAAGUUGACAUUUUCUUUAAAUUGAUUUAGAAAUUAUUCAUAAGUAUUAUAAUCGUUUCUUGUUUAUUAUACUAAGUAAAUCCAUCUUAUAUCAUAGUAAAUUAUCAUUUCGAAGAUUUAUCAUCAAUAUAUUGGGAAAAUUAUCAUUUAUCAUUUAGCCGAAUAGGUAAGACAUUAAAUAAUACAUUUCUGACGCAAGUAAUUAAAAUUUAAUAAGGCAGUUUAACGGUUUAGAUAUUUUGGGCUAGCAUUUUGAAAACCAAAACCGAAUUUUACAAUUAAAUCAUUUUAACAAAAGCUUAAUUUUGUUGUUAAAAGGAGAACAUUUGAUUAAGGUGACAAACGACUAGUCAAAAAAAAUAUUUUUUUCUAUUUCUUGUAGGUAACAGAAACAGACAUUUUAUAAUUCAAUUACAAAAUAAAAGUACUUUACUUCCUCAAGGAUACUAAAUUAUCGCUUAAAAUGCCUUAAGAAUGCGCACCUGUGUUUAAGUGGAAUCUCAAAAGAUAACGUGUGGAUGUAUUUAAAUGCCAAGACUGGAAAACUUUAUAUUUACCCAUCAGUUACCUACUUGAAAAAUCUGUACGUAAAUCCAAGGCCAAGUGCCACCCAAUGCUGUAUUUAUUUCCUCUUGGCUGAUUCAAGGCGACGCGUCGACUGAAAUCAAGGUUCACGAUUAAUUAUAAAACGUUCAUUCGGUCAAAACACUUGUAUACUUAUUAUAAAAAACAUCGUCAAUUUUUUGCUUAACUAAAAAGAGGCUAGGCACAAGAUAGGCGUAAAAACAUAAUUUAUAGUGAAGCUUGUUACAUAUCCAGUGUAAGGCCAGUCUGAGUUGUAAUCUAAAUAAUUAAUCAUACACAUGGACGUUGCUGAUGUCACUAUUCAAACCAGCUAUUGUAACACGUCAAGCGUUAUUUAUUUCACUGUGUUAUUGCUUCAAAAAGUUUUUAUCAGAUCUGUUUUAUGCCAGAAUUUGAUUUACAGAUUAAUUUUGUCCUCUGAAAUUUACCUAACAUUUAAACAGGUCAAUAUGUGAAGAGAGAAUCCAUUCUCUAUAUUUUACUAAAAUAAACUAAAUAGAACGAGCACGUGACCAUGUCCGCUUUAAAAAAAUAUAUCUUCCCCAAGGUCACUUGAAUUCGCCCCUGGAACGAGGAAUUUGGAUAUGGCGACUGAUGCGCUGUGCGACGAACGACCAAUGUGAUUUUAUCUAACUUAAAAUGUGUUAUUUGGCUUAAAUUUUUUGAGAAACAAGUGUAUAGUGUAAAAAUAUAGUGUUUAACGACUGUGUUUGAUUAUUUUGUGCUACAUUUUAGAUGGAAUCAAUUAAAUAGUUUAAAUAUUGAAUAUGUUUGUAUCGUCCGCCAUUACGCUCGUUGGCGACGCGUCGCCGUUUGUAGAGAUCGAUAGCCCUAUAUCUAUCUCUGUCACUCUUACGGUAAUAAAAUGUCCUGCACCAAGACUACAGCCUAAAUAGAACAAAAUAAAGAAGAUAAUAUCAUAUAUACUGCAAAUACUGGAAAGAACUUUAAACUACAGAACCAAUCGAUUCAAAAUAAACCAAAAAAAAAAACAAAGAAAUAACACCAACAAAAUUGAAAACAAGCCAUUGUUAUGUUAUACGGAGGUUCUACGAGAAAAAGGCAAUCUACAUGGAGGGUUCGUACCGGACGGCUCGAGAUGAGGAAAUAAGAAUUCAUCCUUUCUCGCCCCGGGAGAGGAGGCCGGGGGGUGGGGCAAGACGGACGACGCCAUUCCAAAAACCCAUUAUACGAGCUCCAGAGCUGUUUUCUAUCUCGGAAAGGAACCCAACCCCCCGCGACCCCACUCAACCUACCUCGCCCCAUCUUCAGGGAUCCUCAACUUUGUUUAUGAAAAUUACCCAUUAAAGUGGCUAUGAAAGUAACGCUUUUGCCACUCCCGAAAUUAAUAAGGAAAUUGAUAUAGAUUAUUUUUAGGUCGCAUUUGGUUCUUGUAUUCGACGAUCGAUACGGUCGUUGCGUUUUGUAUAAAAUAUUUUAAAUAGUGUUCUUUGUUCUAUUUCUUUUAUGUUGAAGUGCGAAUUCAGGGCACAAAGAAUUGGAAAUAUAGUGAUAUACACCCUCUUUUUUGAGCCAAUACAUUCUUGGUGACGUAAUGGGUGAUGAGAAAGACUAUAAAGGGGUUGUUACUACAAGUCCUUAUACACUAUUAUAUUCAUUUUAAAUGUCAUACUAAAGUACCAUGUGAGUCUAAAGUUCUAUGGAACUUCUAGUCGUUGUUAAUGGUUAUUUGUUAGCAGGAAAAAUAGUACUAGUAGAAAAUAGUAACUAGAUUAUUAAUAUAAUGUAAGUAAAGUUUUCUUAGAAGAAAUGCUAAAAUUUUCAGAUUAAUAAAAAGCUUAAACUAAUUUCCCCAACCUCUUUAAAUUAAAAAUGAGAUCACCAAGGAGACUUAUGCUUUUUACUCUCACCCUAGAUUUAUAACGCCAUUAGAAAUUAAAUAAAAAAACAAAAUUAUUACACUUGAACCAAAAUUUAAAUACACAUUACUGUUCUCCCCUCUUUAUUGGGAAGUCUACUGCUUUCUUCAGACAUUUGAAUGUUCCAUCUUUAUCUUGCAUUCGAGUGAAUUAGAUGUUAGAAAGAGAUGUAUAAUAAGCCCGCUUGCGACUCGUAGCUCGAUAUAAAGAAAGAUUAUCCGAAGCCCCUAAGGAAGUUUGAAAUUGCUAUUGUAGCGAAAAGGAUUAUAUGUUAGUGCUACGCCGUAGCGGGUCUACGUCGCUGCGGGGGCCGGAUUCAGGAGAUUGCGUGCCGAAGUUUUAUGUAUACGUAUUGGUUUCAUUUAUAUUACCCUCUAUGAUGUGUAUAGUUGAUAGUAUAUUGUGUACUUUCUGAUUUCGCAAUGAUGUAAUUAUAAGUUUAUUAAAGACUACUUUAGGUAUAUUUUGUGUUCUUGCAUAGUAUGUCCAAUAAAAUUAAUAAAGAUAUAAAUUAUAGAACAAUAUUCUAUAAAUAUCAAAAUUAUAUCCUAAAAUACUUUUAUCACCAUCAUUCCACAUUAAAACACCAUGAAUUUUAUCACUGUAUACUCAUAUAAUUAAAAUAAUCCAUUUGCAAUUUUAAACGUUAAAUAAACAACGUGAUAUCUACAAAGCUGGCAGCAGCGUCGGAGCGGAUUAAUCCGGUUUAAAUCCGGGUAAAUACGCCGGGAUCCGGUUACCGGGCGUGGCGCCGCCGAUACGCUCCCGGCCGAGCCGGGCGGUGUUAAUCCCUGUUUUAAAUUCUGAUAAAAGCCGCACCUGUUAUUCGUAGGCAUUUUAAUGUAGGCAUUGUUGGACUUAGCGCGAUGAAUUUGUAUGAAUUGACAAAGUUUUGGGCUUAUGGCUGUGUGACUUUUAAGCUUUUUUAGAUAAAAAUAAUAUUACAUAAGAAAUUUAACAGCUAAAAUCACAUGUGAAAAUGUAGUAGAUAAAAAAUUAAAAAAAGAAAUGGAAAGACGCUGCAGUUAAACUUAUUUUGCUUCCGCAUUCCUAAAUAAGAAACUUCAGAGUACCUAAUGAUUAAAGUAUUUUUGAGUCGAAACAGGCAAAAACGACGGUAAGAAAUUCCUCUGCAUCCGAAAACAAAAAAUAUUCAAGACCUCCCAUUGUCCACCAACUUCACUUAGCUACUAAGCACUUACGCAACCGAUACAUGACUUAUAUAGUUGCUAAGCGACCGGCCUAAAUUAUCAGAGUGUUAUAACAUUAUAAAUUCAGAUAUCUCGAGCCAUCACCAUUACGAAUUCGAAACGGGAGGGUCGCGCUUACGCAUAAUCCGGUGAGCAUAACGGGAUCGAAAAUGAUACAUAAAUUGUUCAGACGGACUAUACAGACGAUUAAACCCAUUAACAUGGUACACGGGUCACGGGGACCUAGGGGCGUCCAAUCAACAACCCUUUCACGCUGCCGCCAAUGUAGAUAGACCUCAUGUUUGUUUUUACUAACUACCGAAAUUGUUGUGUUCGUAUUUUAGAGUUACAUUUUUUUGUUCGUUUCAUUGAUGAGUUUUUGUUUGUAUUUUAGAAAUUGAAUAGAAAAAGUGAAUGAUAUUUGUAGCUUGUUAUUGUGUUUCAAAAAGUCAUGUUAUAACUUUAUAAUCUGAUGCUCAUUUGUAAUGCCUGUAUUGAAAGAUGUGUAACAAUAUUAUCAGAAACGAAAUGUAUUUUUUUGUGUCUUUUUAAUAAAUUCUUUUCACAUUC
Long non-coding RNA from Trichoplusia ni (cabbage looper), 5617 nucleotides. RefSeq lists it as uncharacterized. The record is from RefSeq and is a predicted model, not a curated record. NCBI's taxonomy places the organism in Eukaryota, Metazoa, Arthropoda, Insecta, Lepidoptera, Noctuidae. The transcript has 2 exons.